UACGUAGGGUGCGAGCGUUAAUCGGAAUUACUGGGCGUAAAGCGUGCGCAGGCGGUCUGUUAAGACCGAUGUGAAAUCCCCGGGCCUAACCUGGGAACUGCAUUGGUGACUGGCAGGCUUUGAGUGUGGCAGAGGGAGGUAGAAUUCCACGUGUAGCAGUGAAAUGCGUAGAGAUGUGGAGGAAUACCGAUGGCGAAGGCAGCCUCCUGGGCCAACACUGACGCUCAUGCACGAAAGCGUGGGGAGCAAACAGG
Molecule: ribosomal RNA, 254 nt
Filed under: uncultured bacterium
Lineage: Bacteria
Description: partial 16S ribosomal RNA
Rfam family: Bacterial small subunit ribosomal RNA
Source: RNAcentral